Molecule: ribosomal RNA, 273 nt
Filed under: Triticum aestivum (bread wheat)
Lineage: Eukaryota; Viridiplantae; Streptophyta; Magnoliopsida; Poales; Poaceae
Description: partial small subunit ribosomal RNA
Source: RNAcentral
AUGGCCAGGGCCAGGGAAGCCACCCUUCUUCGCCCCCUUCACCGGCUGCGACCAAAGCGGUGCCGCAGCACCCGGCCUCGCCGUCUCGUACUCCGGCACCAUCGCGACCCAGUGACACAGCCCAAGCAUCGGCCUCGAAAAUCAAGAACGCUCGACAACGGAGAGGGAAGGAAAGAUCAUAUACAUGUCAUAAGAAAGGGAGUUUAUUUACUGCUCCCUCGAUGUAUUGUUUCAUUUGUUUGGAGACUGAUUACCAUCCGCGAGUUAAGGUAA